GUCCCGCCUGGCCCAGUGGACUAACGUUUAACGGCCGCGGUAUUUUUGACCGUGCAAAGGUAGCGUAAUAACUCGUCCUUUAAAUGGGGACUAGUAUGAAUGGCACCACGAGGGCUUAUCUGUCUCCUUUUUUAGGUCAAUGAAAUUGAUCUCCCCGUGCAAAAGCGGGGAUACACACAUAAGACGAGAAGACCCUGUGAAGCUUUAGACACCAAGACAGAUCACGUUAAAAGUACCUCAUUCAAGGGCAUAAACUAAAGAAACCUGCUCUGAUGUCUUUGGUUGGGGCGACCGCGGAGAAAAAGAAACCCUCCCCUCUGCGUGGAACGGGAGCAUUCAAUUAAAAUCCUCCUAAAACCAAGAGCCUACGGCUCAAACCAACAGAACUUUCUGACCAAAAUUGAUCCGGCCUAUGCCGAUCAACGAAUCGAGUUACUCCAGGGAUAACAGCGCAAUCCCCUUUUAGAGCCCAUAUCGACAAGGGGGCUUACGACCUCGAUGUUGGAUCAGGACAUCCUAAUGGUGCAGCCGCUAUUAAGGGUUCGUUUGUUCAACGAUUAACAGUCCUACGUGAUC
This 576-nucleotide ribosomal RNA is filed under the name Cymbacephalus cf. nematophthalmus MP-2016. RNAcentral describes it as "partial 16S ribosomal RNA". It matches the Rfam family "Bacterial large subunit ribosomal RNA", at positions 1852 to 2605 of the family's 2925-position model. The record is from RNAcentral. Lineage: Eukaryota; Metazoa; Chordata; Actinopteri; Perciformes; Platycephalidae.